GUCCAUCCCAUCCACUGUGUGUGUGUGUGUGUGUGUCAGCAAAUGCAAAUUUGUUCAAAGUUUAUUGAGUGCACGUGACGACAAACAAAAGUGCAAAGUUGCCUUUGUCCUUUGUCCUGGCAUCCUUGGGCCCCAUGGCCCGACAACUGCAACUACAGGCAUUUUCUUGUAUUUCACUUUUGUUUUCUCCUUUCCAGCCUGCCCAUAGUGCCCAGCGCUUUUUUCUUUCUCUCCUGUCCUUUUCUUUUUUCUUUUCAUAUCCGUUACAUGCAUUGUUUCAUAUACAUAUUUCUACCUCUUCCUUUUCAGUAUUUUGCGCUCAAAGGUUAAACCUCUUUUGACUUGCAAAUUUGCAGUUUGCAUGUUUUCAUUUUUCAAUUUUUUAUUAUUUUAACUCUUUUUUUUCAUAAUUCUUCGUGUAAA
This is a long non-coding RNA of Drosophila navojoa, 423 nucleotides long. NCBI's taxonomy places the organism in Eukaryota, Metazoa, Arthropoda, Insecta, Diptera, Drosophilidae. The record is from RefSeq and is a predicted model, not a curated record.